GACGAACGCUGGCGGCGUGCUUAACACAUGCAAGUCGAACGGAAAGGCCCUGCUUUUGUGGGGUGCUUGAGUGGCGAACAGGUGAGUAAUACGUGAGCAACCUUCCCUUGACUUUGGGAUAACUUCAGGAAACUGGGGCUCAUACUGGAUAGGCUCUCCUCCUGCAUGGUGGUGGUUGGCAAGUUUCGGCGUUUGGGGAUGGACUGGGGGUUUAUAGGCUUGUUGGUGGGGUAGUUGCUUACCAGGUGUUUGACGGGUGGCCGGCCUGGGCGGGUGACCGGCCACAUUGGGACUGGGAUAGGGCCAGGCCUCCACCGGGGGGAAGAGGUGGGGAGUUUGGCCAAAGGGGCGGAAGCCGAUGGAGGAAAGCCGGGGUGGGGAAUGACGGCUUUCGGGUUGUAAACGGCUUUAGCAGGUGACGAAGCGGUGGUGACGGUACCGGGAGAAGAAGCACCGGCUAACUACGUG
RNAcentral lists this ribosomal RNA (468 nucleotides) under uncultured bacterium. RNAcentral describes it as "partial 16S ribosomal RNA". It matches the Rfam family "Bacterial small subunit ribosomal RNA", at positions 28 to 507 of the family's 1533-position model. The record is from RNAcentral.